Molecule: ribosomal RNA, 439 nt
Filed under: uncultured bacterium
Lineage: Bacteria
Description: partial 16S ribosomal RNA
Rfam family: Bacterial small subunit ribosomal RNA
Source: RNAcentral
CUACGGGGUGCACCGGUGAGGAAUAUUGCACAAUGGGGGGAACCCUGAUGCAGCAACGCCGCGUGGAGGAUGACGCAUUUCGGUGUGUAAACUCCUUUUAUAUGUCAAGAAAAUGACGGUAGCAUAUGAAUAAGCACCGGCUAACUCCGUGCCAGCAGCCGCGGUAAUACGGAGGGUGCAAGCGUUACUCGGAAUCACUGGGCGUAAAGGACGCGUAGGCGGGUUGGAAAGUCAGGUGUGAAAUCCUACAGCUUAACUGUAGAACUGCACUUGAAACUUCUAAUCUAGAGUAUGGGAGAGGGAGAUGGAAUUAGUGGUGGAGGGGGAAAAUCCGUAGAUAUCACUAGGAAUACCUGAAGCGAAGGCGAUCUCCUGGAACAUUACUGACGCUAAGGCGUGAAAGCGUGGGGAGCAAACAGGAUUAGAUACCCUAGUAGUC